UUCGCAUGGAUCGGAUUAAAAAAUAACCGUGAUUUAAGGCACAUCCAGGGAAGAUGGAAUAACUUACAUAAGUUAUGAUGUGUCGGAUCUGCAAAUAAACAGAAUGAGAAGAGGG
Molecule: long non-coding RNA, 115 nt
Organism: Pantherophis guttatus
Lineage: Eukaryota; Metazoa; Chordata; Lepidosauria; Squamata; Colubridae
Source: RefSeq, a predicted model, not a curated record